RNAcentral lists this RNase P RNA (351 nucleotides) under Pseudomonadales bacterium. RNAcentral's name for it is "RNase P RNA component class A". It matches the Rfam family "Bacterial RNase P class A". Rfam says of the family: Ribonuclease P (RNase P) is a ubiquitous endoribonuclease, found in archaea, bacteria and eukarya as well as chloroplasts and mitochondria. Its best characterised activity is the generation of mature 5'-ends of tRNAs by cleaving the 5'-leader elements of precursor-tRNAs. Cellular RNase Ps are ribonucleoproteins. Lineage: Bacteria; Pseudomonadati; Pseudomonadota; Gammaproteobacteria; Pseudomonadales. The record is from RNAcentral.
AGAGCUGGCUGGACAGUCGCCGCCGGAUGCGUCCGGGGGAGGAAAGUCCGGGCUCCAGCGGGCAAGGUGCCAGGUAACGCCUGGGCGGCGCGAGUCGACGGAAAGUGCCACAGAAAAUAUACCGCCAAAUCUGUUUCGGCAGAAGGUAAGGGUGAAAUGGUGCGGUAAGAGCGCACCGCACGCGUGGUAACAUGUCGUGGCAGGGAAAACCCCACCUGGAGCAAGACCAAAUAGGGAUCCAUACGCGUGGCCCACGCGGGAUCCGGGUAGGUUGCUUGAGCCAGACGGUGACGUCUGGCCUAGAUGAAUGACUGUUCUCGACAGAACCCGGCUUAUAGGCUGGCUCUCGCA